GACGAACGCUGGCGGCGUGCUUAACACAUGCAAGUCGAGCGGUAAGGCCCUUUCGGGGGUACACGAGCGGCGAACGGGUGAGUAACACGUGGGUGACCUGCCCUCAGCUCUGGGAUAAGCCUGGGAAACCGGGUCUAAUACCGGAUAUGACUCCAUGACGCAUGUUGGUGGGGUGGAAAGCCUUGUGCGGCGUGAGGAUGGGCCCGCGGCCUAUCAGCUUGGUUGGUGGGGUGAUGGCCUACCAAGGCGACGACGGGUAGCCGGCCUGAGAGGGCGACCGGCCACACUGGGACUGAGACACGGCCCAGACUCCUACGGGAGGCAGCGAGUGGGGAAUCUUGCGCAAUGGGCGAAAGCCUGACGCAGCGACG
This 371-nucleotide ribosomal RNA is filed under the name uncultured bacterium. RNAcentral describes it as "bacterial SSU rRNA". It matches the Rfam family "Bacterial small subunit ribosomal RNA", at positions 28 to 396 of the family's 1533-position model. The record is from RNAcentral.